This 236-nucleotide ribosomal RNA is filed under the name uncultured bacterium. RNAcentral's name for it is "partial 16S ribosomal RNA". It matches the Rfam family "Bacterial small subunit ribosomal RNA", at positions 1 to 236 of the family's 1533-position model. The record is from RNAcentral.
GAUCAUGGCUAAAACAGGAUGAACGCUAGCUACAGGCUUAACACAUGCAAGUCGAGGGGAAACGAUAUUGGAAGCUUGCUUCCGAUAGGCGUCGACCGGCGCACGGGUGAGUAACGCGUAUCCAACCUGCCCAUCACUUGGGAAUAACCUUGCGAAAGUAAGACUAAUGCCCAAUGACAUUUAUAGAAGGCAUCUGAAAUGAAUUAAAGAUUUAUCGGUGAUGGAUGGGGAUGCGU